RNAcentral lists this ribosomal RNA (253 nucleotides) under uncultured bacterium. RNAcentral describes it as "partial 16S ribosomal RNA". It matches the Rfam family "Bacterial small subunit ribosomal RNA", at positions 524 to 776 of the family's 1533-position model. The record is from RNAcentral.
UACGUAGGGUGCAAGCGUUGUCCGGAAUUAUUGGGCGUAAAGAGCUCGUAGGCGGUUUGUCGCGUCUGCUGUGAAAAUCCAGGGCUUAACCCUGGACCUGCAGUGGGUACGGGCAGACUAGAGUGCGGUAGGGGAGAUCGGAAUUCCUGGUGUAGCGGUGAAAUGCGCAGAUAUCAGGAGGAACACCGGUAGCGAAGGCGGAUCUCUGGGCCGUAACUGACGCUGAGGAGCGAAAGCAUGGGGAGCGAACAGG